AUUGAACGCUGGCGGCAUGCUUUACACAUGCAAGUCGAACGGUAACAGGCCUUCGGGUGCUGACGAGUGGCGAACGGGUGAGUAAUGCAUCGGAACGUACCCAGAGGUGGGGGAUAACGCAGCGAAAGCUGUGCUAAUACCGCAUGUGAUCUGAGGAUGAAAGCGGGGGACCGAGCAGCAAUGUUUGGCCUCGCGCCUUUGGAGCGGCCGAUGUCGGAUUAGCUAGUUGGUGGGGUAAAGGCCUACCAAGGCGACGAUCCGUAGCUGGUCUGAGAGGACGACCAGCCACACUGGGACUGGGGCACGGCCCAGACUCCUACGGGAGGCAGCAGUGGGGAAUGGUGGACAAUGGGCGCAAGCAUGAUCCAGCAAUGCCGCGUGCGGGAAGAAGGCCUUCGGGUUGUAAACCGCUUUUGGCAGGAACGAAACGGUGUCCGCUAAUACCGGGCGCUAAUGACGGUACCUGCAGAAUAAGCACCGGCUAACUACGUG
This 492-nucleotide ribosomal RNA is filed under the name uncultured bacterium. RNAcentral describes it as "partial 16S ribosomal RNA". It matches the Rfam family "Bacterial small subunit ribosomal RNA", at positions 29 to 507 of the family's 1533-position model. The record is from RNAcentral.